This 497-nucleotide ribosomal RNA is filed under the name uncultured bacterium. Its description in RNAcentral is "partial 16S ribosomal RNA". It matches the Rfam family "Bacterial small subunit ribosomal RNA", at positions 28 to 507 of the family's 1533-position model. The record is from RNAcentral.
GAUGAACGCUGGCGGCGUGCCUAAUACAUGCAAGUCGAGCGAACAGACGAGGAGCUUGCUCCUCUGACGUUAGCGGCGGACGGGUGAGUAACACGUGGAUAACCUACCUAUAAGACUGGGAUAACUCCGGGAAACCGGAGCUAAUACCGGAUAAUAUAUUGAACCGCAUGGUUCAAUAGUGAAAGACGGUUUUGCUGUCACUUAUAGAUGGAUCCGCGCCGCAUUAGCUAGUUGGUAAGGUAACGGCUUACCAAGGCAACGAUGCGUAGCCGACCUGAGAGGGUGAUCGGCCACACUGGAACUGAGACACGGUCCAGACUCCUACGGGAGGCAGCAGUAGGGAAUCUUCCGCAAUGGGAGAAAGCCUGACGGAGCAACGCCGCGUGAGUGAUGAAGGUCUUCGGAUCGUAAAACUCUGUUAUUAGGGAAGAACAAAUGUGUAAGUAACUAUGCACGUCUUGACGGUACCUAAUCAGAAAGCCACGGCUAACUACGUG